CCGACUGCUAUUUGGGUGAGAAUAAGCCAUGCGAGUUGAAUGGGAUACCUAAAGUUCCCAUAGCAAACUGCUCAGUAACACAUGAUCAACUUACCCUAUAGAGAAGAAUAACCUCGGGAAACUGAGGAUAAUGUUUCAUAAUUGAAUUGGCUUGGAAAAGUUUUUCAAUGAAAAGGAUAAAAAAAAUGGUUUUUAUCUGCUAUAGGAUAGGAUCGUGUUCGAUUAUGGUUGUUGGUGAGAUAAUGGCUCACCAAGCCGAUAAUCGAUAGGGGCCGUGAGAGCGGGAGCCCCGAGAUGGGUACUGAGACAACGACCCAGGCCUUACGAGGCGCAGCAGGCGCGGAACCUCCGCAAUACACGAAAGUGUGACGGGGUUACCCAAAGUGUUCAAUAGAACUGUGGUAGGUGAGUAAUGUCCCCUACUAGAAAGGAGAGGGCAAGGCUGGUGCCAGCCGCCGCGGUAAAACCAGCUCUUCAAGUGGUCGGGAUAAUUAUUGGGCUUAAAGUAUCCGUAGCCGGUUUAGUAAGUUCCUGGUAAAAUCGGGUAGCUUAACUAUCUGCAUGCUAAGAAUACUGCUAUACUAGAGGGCGGGAGAGGUCUGAGGUACUACAGGGGUAGGGGUGAAAUCUUAUAAUCCUUGUAGGACCACCAGUGGCGAAGGCGUCAGACUGGAACGCGCCUGACGGUGAGGGACGAAAGCCAGGGGAGCGAACCGGAUUAGAUACCCGGGUAGUCCUGGCCGUAAACGAUGCAUACUAGGUGAUGGUACGGCCAUGAGCCGUAUCAGUGCCGUAGGGAAACCGUUAAGUGUGCCGCCUGGGAAGUACGGUCGCAAGGCUAAAACUUAAAGGAAUU
RNAcentral lists this ribosomal RNA (856 nucleotides) under uncultured archaeon. RNAcentral describes it as "bacterial SSU rRNA". It matches the Rfam family "Archaeal small subunit ribosomal RNA", at positions 23 to 866 of the family's 1478-position model. The record is from RNAcentral.